GACGAACGCUGGCGGCGUGCUUAACACAUGCAAGUCGAACGGAAAGGCCCUGCUUGCAGGGUACUCGAGUGGCGAACGGGUGAGUAACACGUGGGUGAUCUGCCCUGCACUUCGGGAUAAGCCUGGGAAACUGGGUCUAAUACCGGAUAGGAGCCAUUUUUAGUGUGAUGGUUGGAAAGUUUUUUCGGUGUAGGAUGAGCUCGCGGCCUAUCAGCUUGUUGGUGGGGUAAUGGCCUACCAAGGCGGCGACGGGUAGCCGGCCUGAGAGGGUGGACGGCCACAUUGGGACUGAGAUACGGCCCAGACUCCUACGGGAGGCAGCAGGGGGGAAUAUUGCACAAUGGGCGCAAGCCUGAUGCAGCGACGCCGCGUGGGGGAUGACGGCCUUCGGGUUGUAAACUCCUUACGCUAGGGACGAAGCUUUUUGUGACGGUACCUAGAUAAGAAGCACCGGCUAACUACGUG
Molecule: ribosomal RNA, 465 nt
Filed under: uncultured bacterium
Lineage: Bacteria
Description: partial 16S ribosomal RNA
Rfam family: Bacterial small subunit ribosomal RNA
Source: RNAcentral